ACGGGAGGCAGCAGUGGGGAAUAUUGGGCAAUGGGCGAAAGCCUGACCCAGCAACGCCGCGUGAAGGAAGAAGGUCUUCGGAUUGUAAACUUCUUUUAUGAGGGACGAAACAAAUGACGGUACCUCAUAAAUAAGCCACGGCUAACUACGUGCCAGCAGCCGCGGUAAUACGUAGGUGGCAAGCGUUAUCCGGAUUUACUGGGUGUAAAGGGCGCGUAGGCGGGAAUGCAAGUCAGAUGUGAAAUCUCUGGGCUCAACCCAGAAACUGCAUUUGAAACUGUAUUUCUUGAGUGCUGGAGAGGUAGAUGGAAUUCCUAGUGUAGCGGUGAAAUGCGUAGAUAUUAGGAAGAACACCAGUGGCGAAGGCGAUCUACUGGACAGUAACUGACGCUGAGGCGCGAAAGCGUGGGGAGCAAACAGGAUUAGAUACCCUGGUA
RNAcentral lists this ribosomal RNA (437 nucleotides) under uncultured Oscillospiraceae bacterium. RNAcentral's name for it is "bacterial SSU rRNA". It matches the Rfam family "Bacterial small subunit ribosomal RNA", at positions 341 to 792 of the family's 1533-position model. The record is from RNAcentral. Lineage: Bacteria; Bacillati; Bacillota; Clostridia; Eubacteriales; Oscillospiraceae.